CUAAUGGGAAUGGGCGUGGCCUGGGAGAAGUGGGCGUGGCCUAAUGGGAAUGGGCGUGGCCUGGGAGAAGUGGGCGUGGCCUGUGAUAGGUGGGCGUGGCCUGCAGACCGUGGUGCUCCAGCCCCCAUGGAGUGGGCAUGGCCUAAUGGGAGUGGGCGUGGCCAAAGGGGGCGUGGCAAAAACGGUCGUGGGCGUGGUCUAUAUGGGCGUGGCAACACGGGGCGUGGCCAAUGCAAAUGGGCACGAGUUCCCAUGGGUCUUUGGGGCUCGACCCCUGGGGGUGGGGGUGUGGCCAAAGGGGGCGUGGCCAACGGCGGCGGGUGUGGCCGAUUGGGAGUGGGCGUGGCCAAUGCAAAUGGGCAUGAGUCUAUGGGGCUGGACCCGUGGGAGGUGGGGGCGUGGCUUUAUGGGGGGCGUGGCUUUAUGGGGGGCGUGGCCAAUGCAAAUGAGCGUGAGUUUAUGGGGCUGGACUCGUGGGAGGUGGGGGCGUGGCUUCUAUGGGGGGCGUGGCCAACAGGAAUGGGCGUGGCCAAUGCAAAUGAGCACAACUUCCUGCAGGUUCAUGUCGCUCAACCGCAGGGGGUGGGGGCGUGGCCAAAGGGGGGCGUGGCCAAAGUGGGCGUGGCCAAAGGGGGGGGGACCGUGGCCAAAGGGAAUGGGCGUGGCCAAUGCAAAUGAGCACGACUUCCUGCGGGUUCAUGUCGCUCAACCGCAGGGGGUGGGGGCGUGGCCAAACGGGGGCGUGGCCAAACGGGGGGGGCGUGGCCAAAGGUGGUGGGCGUGGUCUAUAUGGGCGUGGCCAAAUGGGGGAGACCGUGGCCAAAGGGGGCGUGGCCAAAGGAAAUGGGCGUGGCCAAUGCAAAUGAGCACGACUUCCUGCAGGUUCAUGUCGCUCAACCGCAGGGGGUGGGGGCGUGGCCAAACGGGGGGCGUGGCCAAAUUGGGGGGCGUGACCAAAUUGGGGGCGUGGCUAAAGGGAAUGGGCGUGGCCAAUGCAAAC
This 1000-nucleotide long non-coding RNA is filed under the name Numida meleagris (helmeted guineafowl). RNAcentral describes it as "lncRNA (ENSNMEG00000003902.1)". Lineage: Eukaryota; Metazoa; Chordata; Aves; Galliformes; Numididae. The record is from RNAcentral.